RNAcentral lists this ribosomal RNA (433 nucleotides) under uncultured bacterium. RNAcentral describes it as "bacterial SSU rRNA". It matches the Rfam family "Bacterial small subunit ribosomal RNA", at positions 29 to 507 of the family's 1533-position model. The record is from RNAcentral.
AACGGACGCUGGCGGCAUGCCUAACACAUGCAAGUCGAACGAACCCUUCGGGGUUAGUGGCGCACGGGUGCGUAACGCGUGGGAAUCUGCCCUUUGCUUCGGAAUAACUCAGGGAAACUUGUGCUAAUACCGGAUGAUGUCUUCGGACCAAAGAUUUAUCGGCAAGGGAUGAGCCCGCGUAGGAUUAGGUAGUUGGUGGGGUAAAGGCCUACCAAGCCGACGAUCCUUAGCUGGUCUGAGAGGAUGAUCAGCCACACUGGGACUGAGACACGGCCCAGACUCCUACGGGAGGCAGCAGUGGGGAAUAUUGGACAAUGGGCGAAAGCCUGAUCCAGCAAUGCCGCGUGAGUGAUGAAGGCCCUCGGGUCGUAAAGCUCUUUUACCAGGGAUGAUAAUGACAGUACCUGGAGAAUAAGCUCCGGCUAACUCCGUG